This is a non-coding RNA of Aegilops tauschii subsp. strangulata, 2257 nucleotides long. The record is from RefSeq and is a predicted model, not a curated record. Lineage: Eukaryota; Viridiplantae; Streptophyta; Magnoliopsida; Poales; Poaceae.
UGCCACCAUGGGAAAGGUGUGUUCUUCCUUCCUUUUUUUGAUCUUUCAAUCUCCCUGCUGUUGUGCACAUAUACGUGGCUCACGCCUGGUUGUUAUUUUCGGCUGCACAUUGUGGUGGUUAGGGUUUCAUGCCAGGGUCGUUUCUUGGUACGUGGAUGUUGUUCCUCGGAUGUGGAAAAAGAAUGGAGCAGGAGGAAAAGAGGAAGUAAAAGCUUUGCCACCUCCAUGCCCAUGCGCUGCUUCCUGCUCACCUGAAGUAUGUAUGAGUCAAGUUCCUAAUCCUACAAGCCAUGCGGCAAGCAGCUUGAUGCUGUUGUUUUUGGUAAAAAAAAUCCCCUAUUGUUUCACUGCUGGCCUAUGUUGAAGUUUGUUAUAGCUUGUUGUUGAUUUGAUCCAUAUGCUGAAAGCAGUUGAACUUAAUUUUUCAUAUGUAGAUGCAAUCUUUCUUUUCUUGUAUGGGAAAGAGCACUAGCUAGAACUGACAUAUCUAUCUCAUGAGGUGUGCUUGUGUUUGAUGUACUCUGCUAAUUAUGAAAUAUAUAGCUCUCUUGAUAGAUGCAUGUUCACUUCCUUUUUGUUUCUUUUGAUUUGUUUGGCAACUGUUGGGCUGAAGUGGUAUGUGAAAUGUUGCAAUAAAAAUGCCGAAUAAUGGAAACCAAGUCAAUUAUGCCAUUCAGAUGUAUCUUUCUGCAUAUCAAUCUUAGUCCAGGUGGUUUCCUACUUAGUGCUCUGGAUAGGAUAUAUGUAUUUUGGUUUUUUAUAUCGAUGUUUGUAGGGCGUGCCCAGUUUUCUGUGCAUUGCAAUACCUGUUCAGGUUAGCCCUGUUCAGGUUAGUGCUUUGGGAGAAAUACAUGUAUGUGUUCCAGGAUCCAGUAUACCACCUUUUCAUUGUUGUUGCUUGCUAAUUAUAGUUGCCAUUGUGGUUGGUGGGGAACUUAAUAAAUCUCUUUCUCCACUUUGAAGGAAAAUACAGUCAACCCCUCCUCUUAUUAAUCAUAUGCCUCCAUAAUGUGUCUUCAUAGCCUGUGUCGUUUGGUUACGUAAAUUUUUCUUCUCUGCAAUUUAAUUUUGUGUGUUUGGUAAGUCAACAAAGGUUGAGGUUUUGAGUUCUAAUGGAAUAUAGUUCUUCUAAUCUCUGUAGAGGGCUCAAGAAAGACAAAUUGACUCGUGCUUCAAGUACGAAGAAUAUAUUUUCCUUGCAAGAUAAGACAAAUUAGUAAGCUUCUAAUUACAUUUAUUAGACUCUGCUGCUACAAUUAGACUACUUGUGUAGGCUAGAGAGAAGUUCAGAAUGUGCAUUACAUUUAUUAGACUCUGCUGCUAUACCGUUAGACUACAUGUGUAGGCUAGAGAGAAGUUCAGAAGGUGUAUCCGUCUCAUAAGGAUAUGCUGCUACAAUUAGACUCCGCAUAUCUAUGAAUGUGUUGCUUCCAAAUCUGCAUUUAUCUCUCUGCAAUAUGCUCAUUUGCUAUAUAGUUUUGAAGUUUGCAUAUCAUGUAUAUUUAUUGUAUACCUCUCAUGGUUUUUUUCCUGGAUUUUACUUUAUGAUGUGUGUGCUAAUGUGUAGGGAUUGAACAGAAUCUGCUUAGACUAUUUAUUGGGUUCGACACUAAUAAAUCAUAAAUCAUGAUGAAGCGUUCUGUUAUGGUUAGGCCAAAGGCUGUGCUUAACGAUGUUCUUGCUGAAGCUGGUUUACCCAAAGUGAAGUACAAGACCUACGCAUCUUACCGUGUCCGUGUCGGGGCUACUAUUUACUUAUGGCCAUCACAGUUGCGCUUGUCUACGGCAUCAGUGCAUAUGGCCAUCCAUGGUGAACUAGCUGUGGAUGUUGCUGAUGCCCAUGCAGAAUGCUGCUGCUCGGUGCUUGCAGCAACUUCAAGACACCAUGAAUAUUGAAUUUGAUUGCCCUAAAAUGCAGAAGAUUAAGACCGAGAUGAAGUACCUUUCGAGCAGUGUCAGUGUGAAGAAUCGAAAUAUAAAGGAUCUAAAGACUAAGGUGGAUAAAAAGGACAUUGUGUUUGACAUAUUCGAGUUCCAGUUAUGACUCGGGAGUGGCGAUGGCAGCAUCAUCUGUGUGAGGAGUGCCUGCCGCAGGCGCUGGAUGCAAGGCUCACUCCUCCAUCAUUGCUAGAGGUCGCAGCAGCAGGGAUGUGAAGGGCAUUGAAUCAAGAUGAGCCUCCCCCUCUCUGAAGGAAAUAUGCCCUAGAGGCAAUAAUAAAGUUAUUAUUUAUUUCCUUAUUUCAUGAUAAAUGUUUAU